Molecule: ribosomal RNA, 497 nt
Filed under: uncultured bacterium
Lineage: Bacteria
Description: bacterial SSU rRNA
Rfam family: Bacterial small subunit ribosomal RNA
Source: RNAcentral
AUGAACGCUGGCGGCGUGCCUAAUACAUGCAAGUCGAGCGAACAGACGAGGAGCUUGCUCCUCUGACGUUAGCGGCGGACGGGUGAGUAACACGUGGAUAACCUACCUAUAAGACUGGGAUAACUUCGGGAAACCGGAGCUAAUACCGGAUAAUAUAUUGAACCGCAUGGUUCAAUAGUGAAAGACGGUUUUGCUGUCACUUAUAGAUGGAUCCGCGCCGCAUUAGCUAGUUGGUAAGGUAACGGCUUACCAAGGCAACGAUGCGUAGCCGACCUGAGAGGGUGAUCGGCCACACUGGAACUGAGACACGGUCCAGACUCCUACGGGAGGCAGCAGUAGGGAAUCUUCCGCAAUGGGCGAAAGCCUGACGGAGCAACGCCCCGUGAGUGAUGAAGGUCUUCGGAUCGUAAAAACUCUGUUAUUAGGGAAGAACAAAUGUGUAAGUAACUAUGCACGUCUUGACGGUACCUAAUCAGAAAGCCACGGCUAUCUACGUG